AUACCUCUGUCCUCAUAUCAAUAAUACAUACGUCUGAACUUCUCAUUAUUCUUCUCUUCUGUUUUCCGCUUCUCUGCAUAACUUUGUUUCUAGCAUUUCAAGUGCUAUCAGUGGUAUCAGAGCAUCGUGAUAGAUGGAGAAGAACCUACGAAGGAAGAACAAAAAGAAGAAUUUCAGAGGAAGGAUGACAAAACACUGAAUAUCAUUCAUCAGUGUGUAGACGACACACACUUUGAGAAGAUCCAAACGCAAAUACGACAAAGGAAGCAUGGAGUAUUUUGUGUCGAUGCCAUGCUGGUGAUGAAAAGAUCAAGAAAGUUCGACUUCAUAACUUGAGACGACAAUGAGUUACUGCAAAUGCAAGAUGAUGAGAAGAUCUGUGAGUAUUUUAACAAGAUUGUGACGUUAACGAAUCAGAUGAAAAGCUGUGGAGAGAAGAAGCUCGAUGAUGUGUCGAUUAUGGAAAAGAUAAUGAGAUCUUUACCUAAGAGAUUUAACUUCAUUGUAGUAGCUAUUGAGGAAUCAAAAGAUCAGGAGAAAUUAAAGAUUGAAGAGCUUCAGAGCUCUCUGGAGGCUCACGAAAUGAAGCUCUAUGACCA
RNAcentral lists this long non-coding RNA (599 nucleotides) under Vigna radiata. RNAcentral's name for it is "long non-coding RNA (VRAD_LNC017090)". The record is from RNAcentral. Lineage: Eukaryota; Viridiplantae; Streptophyta; Magnoliopsida; Fabales; Fabaceae.